AAUAGCUCAGUCGGUAGAGCGUUCGGCUGUUAACCGAAAUGUCGUAAGUUCGAGUCUUACUU
Molecule: transfer RNA, 62 nt
Filed under: bovine gut metagenome
Rfam family: tRNA
About the family: Transfer RNA (tRNA) molecules are approximately 80 nucleotides in length. Their secondary structure includes four short double-helical elements and three loops (D, anti-codon, and T loops). Further hydrogen bonds mediate the characteristic L-shaped molecular structure. tRNAs have two regions of fundamental functional importance: the anti-codon, which is responsible for specific mRNA codon recognition, and the 3' end, to which the tRNAs corresponding amino acid is attached (by aminoacyl-tRNA synthetases). tRNAs cope with the degeneracy of the genetic code in two manners: having more than one tRNA (with a specific anti-codon) for a particular amino acid; and 'wobble' base-pairing, i.e. permitting non-standard base-pairing at the 3rd anti-codon position.
Source: RNAcentral